AGAAAAAUACAACAUUUAUUGACCUUUUGUGGAAAAACGGAAGGAGAAAUAACUUUUUUUCUGAAAGACCCUCCAAAUAAGCAAAUGGUGCCUCCGAAAAUUCCACAAAAAUUAAAUGGAAAAUUAAAAACUGGAUAUCUUUCGAAUAAAACUAAAGAUAGUAUUAUAUAGUCUUUCGAAAUUAGUUUCAAAAAAUUUGCCAAAAGAAUCCGACAGUAAGAUUCAGUAUUAUGGGAAUGAAAUUCUACAAAACCAGCUCAAGGCACUACAAAUACAAUUGGAACAGCAGACACAGCUUUCUAAAGAACAAAGUGCAGCAUUUCUUGAGGAUCGUAGAAUUAAACAGGAAGAAUUCGAUUUUCAAAGAAAGAAUGAUUCCAAAAAAAUUAACGAUCUUAUCUUGAAAGUAAAUAAAUCUGAAGAAUUAAUUUGUUCUACUACUAAAGAUUUCAUUGCUUUGAGACAAAAUUUUCGAUCGAAAGAAAAAAAUUGGAUGAGUGAGAAAGAUCGGCUGUUACAACAAUUGGACAGCUGUAAACAACAAUAUGACAUUAAAUAUCAAAUUAAAAAUUCAUAUGUUGUUCCUUCGGGAUCUGAUCCAGAUGUUGAAGCGAAAUUAAAUAAAGAAAUUGAGGUUAAAUAUUCCUAUAAUUUGUAGGAAAUGACAAACCAAUGUGAGCAAGCCAAUAAACUUGCUGCAAUGUACAGAGCGCAGGUGAUUUCUUUGGAAGAUCAGGUUUCAGUUUUUAAAGAAGAAACUGAUAUGACAAAAAGCCUUUUUCAAUCAAAAACUGAAAACGUUCAGAAGAAAUUGAAAAUAAUGACAUCAAGAUAUCAUGAACUUGAGAAAAGAAGAAACUUAGAAGUCGAAGGUUUUCAAAAU
This is a long non-coding RNA of Octopus sinensis (East Asian common octopus), 883 nucleotides long. RefSeq lists it as uncharacterized. The record is from RefSeq and is a predicted model, not a curated record. NCBI's taxonomy places the organism in Eukaryota, Metazoa, Mollusca, Cephalopoda, Octopoda, Octopodidae. The transcript has 4 exons.